UGCAGCUGCCAUAAUUUGUUUGUAGAAAGUGGUAGUCUUUUGGUGAUUUAGGCGGUUUUAAACGCCAUUACUUGCUCCCGCUUCACUGGUAAAAAAGCUAUUCUAUUUCACUAAUAAAGGCUAUGCUAUUCAAUCGAACCUCCAUCACAAUGUGAGAAUCAAGAAGAAACUCCAUCGCAACAUGAGAUAUGCGUUCUCAUCCACGAUGCUCUCCUCUGGCGGCAAUGCCGUUGUUGCUGCCUUCGAAGGAGCGCUCUUCUUUGAUUAGGUUUUCUGGCUUCGAUUUGAGGGUUCGUUGCGCCGCCGCUCAUCUCCUCGUCACCACAAGCAACGCCAUCAUUGCUGUCCUCAGUGGAGCUUCUGCUAUCUGGUAUAAUCUGAGAUCGCACAUCGGAGGGAGAGGGAAAGGAGAACGAGAGUGAGUUCAUCUCAAACCCUAGAGUUUGUCGCCGCCAUCGUCACCACCAUUCAUCUCAUUUCAGCCGCUUCCAUCAACCUUCUGCGUUCGAGUGAAGGUGCCUCUAUCGACGCGUUUCCAAAUCUGGUCACGAUGCCAUAGCUUAUGAGAUUGAGCGAAUCACCUAUUCCAUUAAUGUGUCUCCUCCGCCAGCGGCGCCAAAGGGAAAAGUGUUUUCACUUGCAAAUGAACUUCCUAAUGGUGCUAUUAUAUUUCUGGAUGAGAUUGAUUCUUUUGCUGCUGCUCGGGAUAAUGAAAUGCAUGAAGCUACAUGGAGAAUAUUGUCAGCGUUGUUACGACAGAUAGAUGGCUUUGAACAGGAUAAGAAAGUGGUUAUGAUUGCUGCUACCAAUUGAAAGGAAGACCUUGAUCCUGCAUUAAUCAGCCGGUUUGAUACUAUGAUCCCUUUUGGCUUACCUGAUCACCGUAAUCGUCAGCAAAUAGUUUUUAAUCACCAAAAUGUUCGACGGCAUCUUCGGUUAGAGAUUUGUCGCGAAAUGGUUCCGUACUUUGAUUUUUCUGUUUCUGUUCUACCUUCUUCAUGCCUUUCACUUAUUGUAAUUAUGCUGAUUGUGAUUUUCAAGGGGAAAAAAACUACUCACAAUGGAGAAGAAAGGGUCUCAGAGAUGGAUGAGCGGCGGUAGCAACAGGUGCACAAUAUGCAAAGAUUAAGGUAUUGUUGUAGAGAUACAUUGAUGGCGAGAGUACGCAUCAAGAAGACAUCGGGGUAAACAUCAUUUGGUUGCAACCAACGAAAUGAAAUUCUGCUUGGAUGCUUCCCCAAAACAAAAGCUUAUUUCUAAGUUCAAGAGAGGUACAUUUACUCCUUGCAGAUGGGAUGCAAAUCAGAUGUGGAAGCUAAAUCCAAAUGGGACCAUGGUAAAAAAUUACUCCAGUCUGUAUGUAAUAGCAGAAUCUGUCAAAGAUGGUAUUAGUCCUGGUGGGAUUUGCUUUUGGAUUGCAAAAGGAAGAAGAGAGAGCAAUGCAAGGAUUUACUAGAAGAUUGUGGGAUUGAUGAAGAGUGAGGGUCUCUUGGCCGGAAUUGGUGUAUCACAUUAUAAUAAAGCUUCCAGUUUAGUGUUUCAAUAAACUCUCUCACAUUCUUUGAUACUGACAGUGUUUGAUGAUGAAAACCAAGCGCAGGAGAAUAGCUUCAUUUAUGUUAUAGCUGAGUAUCUUCAAAAAGUUGAUCCUAAAUCAGAUGGUGCAAAGUGGGACUGGGUUGCUAUUUAUGACGAGUGUGCAGCCGUUUUAUAUCAGAUUCCAGGUUUAUUGGUUAUUGUGAUUCUAGAUCAUUAUCUUUCUAAGAGGUUCAUUGCUAAUUUGAUUGUACUUCUGAUGUUUGGUUUUCUUGGCUACAUGUGCAUUUCAGAGAGACACAAUUCAAGCUGUGACAAGUUUUGCCAAACGGAAUAAAUUGCCUGUUCUCAUGCAAGAACAGAUGAUUGCACAUUUGCAUAUGAAGUACAGAACUGAUAUAGAAGGGCUGCAGCAGCAAGAGUUUAAAUACAUAUUCAUAUUCCGUUUAAAUACAUUAUUAGAUAUUAACAUAGUUUAGGAAACUGGAUGGUAGAUUUGACUGAUUAGUGUUUAUUGCAAUGCUUGUAUUUUGGUAAGUUUAGUAAGACAAGGUUUUGUA
Molecule: long non-coding RNA, 2096 nt
Organism: Arachis stenosperma
Lineage: Eukaryota; Viridiplantae; Streptophyta; Magnoliopsida; Fabales; Fabaceae
Exons: 12
Source: RefSeq, a predicted model, not a curated record